CCAAUUACACAUAACAGAGAAUGUAUAAUAUAUGGAUCCGACUCUUUCAUAGUGAGCAUCUCACUUCAGAGUUUGAAGUUCACAAGACAAUUCAUAAGAUAAGCAAAUCAAUAGUUGAGAAUAGACACAUCAUAACAAAUCACGAGUUUGUUUAAAUUAACAACCCUUCAAAUUCAAAACAACCAGGGCUUAAAGGUGUUUAUUCCAUUAUUAUCUUCUAAGAACCAUCAAAGUCCAAAUCAUGUUUUUUUAAAACACAUCCCCUGUUAAUAUUAAUCAUGGAUGAACAAAUCAAUAGGUGAUAUUAGAGACACGUCAUAACAAAUC
RNAcentral lists this long non-coding RNA (327 nucleotides) under Trifolium pratense (red clover). Its description in RNAcentral is "long non-coding RNA (TPRA_LNC005014)". The record is from RNAcentral. Lineage: Eukaryota; Viridiplantae; Streptophyta; Magnoliopsida; Fabales; Fabaceae.